RNAcentral lists this ribosomal RNA (302 nucleotides) under uncultured bacterium. Its description in RNAcentral is "partial 16S ribosomal RNA". It matches the Rfam family "Bacterial small subunit ribosomal RNA", at positions 508 to 807 of the family's 1533-position model. The record is from RNAcentral.
GCAGUAGCCGCGGGAAUACGAGGGGGGCAAGCGUUGUUCGGAAUUAUUGGGCGUAAAGGGUGCGUAGGCGGUUUGACAAGUCAUCUGUGAAAUCUAUGGGCUCAACCCAUAGUCUGCAGGCGAAACUGUCGGGCUUGAGUAUGGGAGAGGUGAGUGGAAUUUCCGGUGUAGCGGUGAAAUGCGUAGAUAUCGGAAGGAACACCUGUGGCGAAAGCGGCUCACUGGACCAUAACUGACGCUGAGGCACGAAAGCUAGGGGAGCAAACAGGAUUAGAUACCCGAGUAGUCCCUGUCUCUUAUAC